RNAcentral lists this ribosomal RNA (1562 nucleotides) under Salmonella enterica subsp. enterica serovar Enteritidis. RNAcentral describes it as "partial 23S ribosomal RNA". It matches the Rfam family "Bacterial large subunit ribosomal RNA", at positions 1292 to 2833 of the family's 2925-position model. The record is from RNAcentral. Lineage: Bacteria; Pseudomonadati; Pseudomonadota; Gammaproteobacteria; Enterobacterales; Enterobacteriaceae.
GAAUGCUGACAUAAGUAACGAUAAAGCGGGUGAAAAGCCCGCUCGCCGGAAGACCAAGGGUUCCUGUCCAACGUUAAUCGGGGCAGGGUGAGUCGACCCCUAAGGCGAGGCCGAAAGGCGUAGUCGAUGGGAAACGGGUUAAUAUUCCCGUACUUGGUGUUACUGCGAAGGGGGGACGGAGAAGGCUAUGUUGGCCGGGCGACGGUUGUCCCGGUUUAAGCGUGUAGGUGUGUGUUCCAGGUAAAUCCGGUUCACUUUAACACUGAGGCGUGACGACGAGGCACUACGGUGCUGAAGCAACAAAUGCCCUGCUUCCAGGAAAAGCCUCUAAGCAUCAGGUAACAUCAAAUCGUACCCCAAACCGACACAGGUGGUCAGGUAGAGAAUACCAAGGCGCUUGAGAGAACUCGGGUGAAGGAACUAGGCAAAAUGGUGCCGUAACUUCGGGAGAAGGCACGCUGACACGUAGGUGAAGUGAUUUACUCAUGGAGCUGAAGUCAGUCGAAGAUACCAGCUGGCUGCAACUGUUUAUUAAAAACACAGCACUGUGCAAACACGAAAGUGGACGUAUACGGUGUGACGCCUGCCCGGUGCCGGAAGGUUAAUUGAUGGGGUCAGCGCAAGCGAAGCUCCUGAUCGAAGCCCCGGUAAACGGCGGCCGUAACUAUAACGGUCCUAAGGUAGCGAAAUUCCUUGUCGGGUAAGUUCCGACCUGCACGAAUGGCGUAAUGAUGGCCAGGCUGUCUCCACCCGAGACUCAGUGAAAUUGAACUCGCUGUGAAGAUGCAGUGUACCCGCGGCAAGACGGAAAGACCCCGUGAACCUUUACUAUAGCUUGACACUGAACAUUGAGCCUUGAUGUGUAGGAUAGGUGGGAGGCUUUGAAGUGUGGACGCCAGUCUGCAUGGAGCCGACCUUGAAAUACCACCCUUUAAUGUUUGAUGUUCUAACGUGGACCCGUUACCCGGGUUGCGGACAGUGUCUGGUGGGUAGUUUGACUGGGGCGGUCUCCUCCUAAAGAGUAACGGAGGAGCACGAAGGUUGGCUAAUCCUGGUCGGACAUCAGGAGGUUAGUGCAAUGGCAUAAGCCAGCUUGACUGCGAGCGUGACGGCGCGAGCAGGUGCGAAAGCAGGUCAUAGUGAUCCGGUGGUUCUGAAUGGAAGGGCCAUCGCUCAACGGAUAAAAGGUACUCCGGGGAUAACAGGCUGAUACCGCCCAAGAGUUCAUAUCGACGGCGGUGUUUGGCACCUCGAUGUCGGCUCAUCACAUCCUGGGGCUGAAGUAGGUCCCAAGGGUAUGGCUGUUCGCCAUUUAAAGUGGUACGCGAGCUGGGUUUAGAACGUCGUGAGACAGUUCGGUCCCUAUCUGCCGUGGGCGCUGGAGAACUGAGGGGGGCUGCUCCUAGUACGAGAGGACCGGAGUGGACGCAUCACUGGUGUUCGGGUUGUCAUGCCAAUGGCACUGCCCGGUAGCUAAAUGCGGAAGAGAUAAGUGCUGAAAGCAUCUAAGCACGAAACUUGCCCCGAGAUGAGUUCUCCCUGAGACUUAGAGUCUCCUGAAG